UACGGAGGGUGCAAGCGUUAUCCGGAUUCACUGGGUUUAAAGGGUGCGUAGGCGGGCGCGUAAGUCAGUGGUGAAAUCUCCGGGCUCAACCCGGAAACUGCCAUUGAUACUAUGCGUCUUGAAUUUUGUUGAGGUUGGCGGAAUAAGUCAUGUAGCGGUGAAAUGCAUAGAUAUGACUUAGAACACCGAUUGCGAAGGCAGCUAACUAAGCAAACAUUGACGCUGAGGCACGAAAGCGUGGGGAUCAAACAGG
This 253-nucleotide ribosomal RNA is filed under the name uncultured bacterium. Its description in RNAcentral is "partial 16S ribosomal RNA". It matches the Rfam family "Bacterial small subunit ribosomal RNA", at positions 524 to 776 of the family's 1533-position model. The record is from RNAcentral.